ACACUCCUACGGGAGGCAGCAGUGGGGAAUAUUGCACAAUGGGCGCAAGCCUGAUGCAGCCAUGCCGCGUGUAUGAAGAAGGCCUUCGGGUUGUAAAGUACUUUCAGCGGGGAGGAAGGCGAUAAGGUUAAUAACCUUGUCGAUUGACGUUACCCGCAGAAGAAGCACCGGCUAACUCCGUGCCAGCAGCCGCGGUAAUACGGAGGGUGCAAGCGUUAAUCGGAAUUACUGGGCGUAAAGCGCACGCAGGCGGUCUGUCAAGUCGGAUGUGAAAUCCCCGGGCUCAACCUGGGAACUGCAUUCGAAGCUGGCAGGCUAGAGUCUUGUAGAGGGGGGUAGAAUUCCAGGUGUAGCGGUGAAAUGCGUAGAGAUCUGGAGGAAUACCGGUGGCGAAGGCGGCCCCCUGGACAAAGACUGACGCUCAGGUGCGAAAGCGUGGGGAGCAAACAGGAUUAGAAACCCUUGUAGUCCCAUGAU
This 477-nucleotide ribosomal RNA is filed under the name uncultured organism. RNAcentral describes it as "partial 16S ribosomal RNA". It matches the Rfam family "Bacterial small subunit ribosomal RNA", at positions 333 to 801 of the family's 1533-position model. The record is from RNAcentral.